GUCUGCACAGACUUUGUUGCAAAUUAUUUUUAACAUUAUGUUUUUUUUUUUUCUUGUGUUACGUAUUUACAUUCAUAGAAGCAGACAUGCUGAAAUCUUUGAAGUUGCUUUGUAUGUUCAGUAUCUGAAAUAUAAAUGAUACUCUGAGAUCCUAGAUCAAUGCAAUUCACAAUCUAGAGACUUUUAAUAUGGAGGAUGAUAGAACUGCUGUAAAUACUCAUGAUUUACUUUUGUAUUUUGUGAGUAGCAGUGUUAGGGUAGACUGAGUCAGAACUUGUCAUGCAAGAAGCUUGUGCCCUCUGGAGAAUAUUAGACUUGACUGGGGGUAACCUGAGCGUUGCAACACCUGCUGUGGAGAGGAGUAAUGGAACCAAACAAGACAACAUGUUGCAGGAAUAAGAGUAUGGAAUCGGAUACAGCAGAACUAAUGUGCUGGGAAGAUAGGAUUGGUUUGGACAUUCAGAAGUAGACAGGAGUGUGGAUAAGCAUCUGCAGGAUAACAUUGUACUUCCUCUGUACUUCGUGGAGGGCUGACAACAUGAAGUAUGAUAUGACAUGGAAGUGCAAGGGGGUAGAUUUUAACAAUUAAAAGGUAGUUAGAUCAAAACUACAAGCUGAAUGAAACAAUUUCAUGACUAAGCAUCAUUUUUGUAAUUGCCUGCUAUCUGAGUAUCUUUUUUUACAUUUUUGACAAUUGCUAAAAAUAAUUUCUGCCACUCCUGCAAAUUCACCCAUAGUAAUAGAGAGAAUAUAAGUAGAUAUACUGAUGCAAUAUCCAAGUAUUGUUUUGCUGUCUUUGGGAUGGUAACAAAAGCCAUCCCAAGCAACAGAGAUUCAGCACAAUUCAGUAUUUGUCUUGAUUGCCUGUAUUUCAUUAUCAUCUACUCUUGGUGCUGUUCUAACCAGAAGCAGAACUUAGGACAAUAUAGAAGGAUAAAAUGUAGCAUACGUUGCUGAAGUGUUGACAGGUAUGUGCUCAAAGACGCAUGAUGUGUAUGUACAGAUAUACAGGUGUCUGUAUGCACACAGCACACAACAUCCUAAAGCCCUGAUCUCUGCUAUGGCUUCCUUAAUGUACAAGUAGGCUUGUAAGGUUUAGAUUUAUGUAAUUUAACAUGUACUUUAUGUACACCCAAAUUAUAUUUAUCUUUAACUACUGAAAGCACAUUUCUUUGCAACUGUAUAGUCACUUUUCUUUUUUCUACUAUAGAAUACCUUGGUUAGCCGGUCUAAAAGCCUUUUAGGUGAAAUCCUGGUUUGUGGGAAAUUACACUGAAGUCCUAGUAAGCAGGCAAACAGCAAUUAAAAAUAAGUGGAUGCAAACAACAAAAAUAGCAAAUGUAACCAAAGGACAAACCAGAGAUACUGCAAUCUAUUCUUUUUAUCUCAUUCUGUUGUGACAUGCUGGAUUUGCUGUAGCCUUUCCUUGAUGGUUUCUAUGGCUCUCAUUAAUUACAAUUUGUGCUUAUAAUUUGGUAUUGGAAAAUGCCUGAUUAAUUUUGGCUUUUGUUUCCCUGUUACCUCCUUGUCUUUUCCCCUUUCACUAGGAAGUGCUGAAUUGUUUACCUAGAAAAAGAUAAAUUGAUGCUUGUGAUUGUGGUACAAAACAUCCCAUUAAAUAUUACUUGCAAUCAUAGUUUAUUUUCUUUUAAUUGUUAGAGUUGAAUACAACUCAACUGAAGUUGAAUGGAGGCUUCCGUAAUGCUGAGCCAACAACAUGGCAUCCGUUAAGGACUGAUUAGUGGCAGUAGUACAGGAGCAGAAGUCAUACUAAGACAAAAUCUUCUUAGACAAAGCACAGAGUGGAAAUCCCCAGCUGGAACUGAACUGGUGCUGCUGAUGUCACCUUAACAACAAAGUCAGUGCCACGGCAGCCUCACCUGAAAUAAAGUAGCAGCAGGAGCAAUGACCUGCAAUCCUAGGAAUUUCCCAUGAAGAAGCCACUAUCUGCAAUAUGGGUUUAGCAGAUCUAAGGUCUUGCCAGUGAAGACAAGUUACAAAAGGAACUUGCUAGCAGUGACUCAUGCAUUUGUGGAUACAUUUCAUCAAUGACUAGCGUGAUUCCAGCUAAACUGCAGAGCCAGCUGCAAUGCAAUCCAGCAGCACAAGAAACAUAACUAGACUGGAGAAAUGCAACCAGCUGCUGGGACCUACAAUAAAGCUGUUCUGAGAUCAGCAGACAAAUGCUUUGUAUUGAUAAUAACUUGUGAAAAUAAAUAGAUAUUAUCGCCUGCAGUUUAUAGUUGUUGACAUACACAUCUGUUGUCUCUGACUGAGCAAACAAUAAAUGUAGUUGCAGCACAACUUUAGAAAAGUCUUACCCUGAAACCAGAAAGAGCAGCUAUUGGGAAUUCCUUCCAGCAUUUGAGAAGAGGAAAGGAGGAAGAAAGGGAGAAAAAUAACUGGAAGGAAAGCCUCAAUUUAGAAGAGAUCUAAGUGUUCAGUAAGAAAAAAUAUAAUAUGCUGAGUCAACAGUGAAUAUAUCUGAGAGGUUAAUGAUGAGCAUAGAGCAGACAUGAGGGAAUCCUCUUAUCACAGUAUGGGAACUCUGGAAGCAGAAGGAGACAUUAGGACAAAAACUGUGAUUGUGAGGGAGCCAAAUAUGAUGCUCACGCUGCACAGUCUGCUGAGUGGUAGCAGACACGAAACCCAUGUAAGUGUGACCAGAGAGAACUUGGAAAGGUUUUCUACAAUAAGAGAACUUUUAAUAAAGAUCACACAAACAAUGAGCAGAAGAGAACCAACAGGACAACAUGGAACAGGAUAGAGGUACUGAUUAUAGUAAAAACACGUGCUGAAUCACUAAUGGAAACAAGGAGGAAGAAGCUGAUUUGAAGAGCAUCAUCCUGAUAUGCAAUCCAGUGUUACUGUGGGGAUUAUUUUAUGGCAAACUGUGUACUUCUAAUCUGUGGGGUUUUUUUGUUUGUUUGUUUGUUUGUUUUUUUAAAGUUAGCACUUAAACAAAAUUCUGAACAGUGUAAUUUCUCAAAAUGAAUCGAACCUGGGAGGGCUGAGCACAUGUGUUAGGGAAGAGUUUGCAUUACACCAUUGGCCAGUUGGCACCUGAAUGGAACCAGCAUAGGGUGGCAGAACCUCUAGAAGCUGCUCUCUCCAUAUAAAUAGCCAGCUAGGUUUGCAAACAAGGAAUCCUCUUAUGACAUAGCAUAAAGUAGAGAAAACAUUGACUUUCCUCCAAAUUUCACUUUUGGGCAAGUAAUUCAGACGAAAACACAUCUUUAAUAUCAAAUAUAUUGUUAGUGCUGCGGACUGUGGAGAAGCUGGAACACUGGGCUAGAAAUGAAAUGUGAACCAGGCACAGGAAAGUAAUGUCACUUGCAAUUAAAAUUAUUAUAUCUGGCCUUGUGAAGUUCCUAUAGUGCUUCAGAGCUAACAAUAAAAUUUAGAUUUUAUGCAAAAGAGAAACCAAGGAGUUAAUAAUUAUGUAGAAAGCUGUACACAUCAGAGUCCUGACAGCUUAAUUGCUAUGCUGACAGCGUUUGCUGUUUCAGUGCUCUAAUGCUGUUUUCAUCUGUAAAGACUGUACUGAGUUACAGCAAUGUCUGGGAUGCAGACACACCUCAUUAAUGCACCUGCUGACAGAGAGAACGUGUGGGUGGCUCUCAGGCAAUGAGAAGCAGGUUAAAGCACCUGUCAGACAGUCUGGGCAUCCCCCUGGGUGAGAAGGGAUCAAGCCCACAUUUUUAGGUGUUAGUGAAAAGAUAACAGAAUAAAUGGUAGUUUUAUCCAAUGCUUAUUUUGCAGUUCACCGAGAACAUCAGAUGAGCUAAUAGCAUACUAGUCCUUUCUUGUAGGCAUAAUGUGAAAUUUGAGCUAAUUUCAUUGGUAGUCUAUGGCACAAGAUACACUAUUGAAAUAUGAUACCAUCUAACAACAGCCACUUCCCGCCAUUCAAAGGGAUGUUCCUUCUGUGCUGUGUGAACGGGCUGUGGAUGUUAAGAUUUGCAUUUUCCUCUCUCUGGUUUUGGUGGCUUUUUGUCAGCGUUCAGUGUGAAACAGAUGAGUAAAAGCAGUGAGUAGGAAAUAAAGCAAGUGUGAAGUUGGGGUAUUUUUAGUAACUUGCUUGUAAAACCUCUCGCACUUUUUUUAAGAAUGCAAAAAUGCUUUUCAGUAAGUUUAGUUGCAAGUAAGAAAUGCUUUUAGGGUAUCCCUAAGCUCUCAGGCUCUAUCUAGUUUACCACAUUCUUCAGAUUGGCAGCCAAAUAGAAAUAACAGUCCCUACUGAGUUUUCAGUCAUUAGCUUUCAUUUGCACAAUGAGAGCUGGUUGCUCUUCAUAUCAUUUUUACAGAAUCAUAUCUGAGUGAGUGUCCACUGUGUUUGCUGGGGAGCGCUAUUGCUUGACUUUGAAACCUAGCAGGUCUAUCUUCAGAUCAGGGUUUCCUAGCGUGGUAAGUUCUGGACAGGACUUUGUACUCCAAGCUGUUAGAGCAGAGCAUGUUGAAACAGAGAUGCCUGUAUCGCACAAGCCACUGGCAACUGCAGACUCAAUGUGCCAUUUUUUCUCUCAGCUUCUACGCAAGAGAAUGGGCUGAAUGUGUAAUAGGGACAGGACAUACUGUCUCCAUAGGUCAGCAACUGGAUAUGACUGGAAGAUGCCAUGUUAUCAAAGUUGAAAUUUCCCACGUAUGAUGUUAACAAAUGAAAGUGUCCUUGUGUUACUCUGAGUGAGCCUGGUUAGAUUAUAACUGCUGAUUAUGCUUUACAACACAGACCAUGUGUGUACCUAGGAGUAAUAGGUCGUGCUGCUCACAUGUUAAACCCACAAAACACGUGUUUUAUUUCAUCAUUGUGUUCAUAUUUUGAAUUAAAGUAUUGUUUGAAUAAAGGAUGGAAAAGGCA
Molecule: long non-coding RNA, 4858 nt
Organism: Gallus gallus (chicken)
Lineage: Eukaryota; Metazoa; Chordata; Aves; Galliformes; Phasianidae
Source: Ensembl